Molecule: ribosomal RNA, 274 nt
Filed under: uncultured bacterium
Lineage: Bacteria
Description: partial 16S ribosomal RNA
Rfam family: Bacterial small subunit ribosomal RNA
Source: RNAcentral
AUACGGAGGGUGCAAGCGUUACUCGGAAUGACUGGGCGUAAAGCGCGCGCAGGCGGUCUUUUAAGUUGGAUGUGAAAGCCUACGGCUCAACCGUAGAACUGCAUCCAAAACUAUUAGACUAGAGUGUGGGAGAGGAAGAUGGAAUUAGUUGUGUAGGGGUAAAAUCCGUAGAGAUAACUAGGAAUACCAAAAGCGAAGGCAAUCUUCUGGAACACUACUGACGCUGAGGCGCGAAAGCGUGGGGAGCAAACAGGAUUAGAUACCCCAGUAGUCC